GCCCGCUUAGCUCAGUGGUAGAGCGCGUCACUCGUAAUGAUGAGGUCGGUUGUUCAAUCCAGCCAGCGGGCA
Paxillus rubicundulus Ve08.2h10 is the source of this 72-nucleotide non-coding RNA. The record is from Rfam. Lineage: Eukaryota; Fungi; Basidiomycota; Agaricomycetes; Boletales; Paxillaceae.